CAUUACACCACUCAAGCCCAGCUUGGUAUUGGGAGCUCGCCUCGUGCCCCGAGGCGUGCCCGAAAGUUAGCGGCGACGUGCCCGGCACCCAAGCGCAUUAAAUAUCAUUCGCUCAGGGCCCGCAGGGUGUGCCAGCCGGACAACCCCCCAAAACUUCAAUGAUUGACCUCGGAUCAGGUAGGGAUACCCGCUGAACUUAA
This 200-nucleotide unclassified non-coding RNA is filed under the name soil metagenome. RNAcentral describes it as "partial contains internal transcribed spacer 2 and large subunit ribosomal RNA". The record is from RNAcentral.